This 946-nucleotide long non-coding RNA is filed under the name Pan troglodytes (chimpanzee). RNAcentral describes it as "long non-coding RNA NONPTRT015574". The record is from RNAcentral. Lineage: Eukaryota; Metazoa; Chordata; Mammalia; Primates; Hominidae.
GGGUUGAUGGGUGCAGCAAUCCACCAUGGCACAUGUAUACCUAUGUAACAAACACUGGAGCUCUCAUACACUGCUGGUGGAAGUGUAAAUUUGUAAAACCACUUUGUAAAACUUUAGCAGAAUCUACUAAAAAUUAUCAUAUGCAUAAACCAUGACCUAAUAAUUUCACCCUAAUUAUAUACCCAUCGAAAGUUACAUAUAUUGGCCAGGCCUGGUGGCUCAUGCCUGUAAUCCCAGCACUUCAGGAGGCCGAGGCAGGUGGAUCACCUGAGGUCAGGAGUUUGAGAUCAACCUGGCCAACAUGGUGAAACCCUGUCUCUACUAAAAAUACAAAAAAAUUACCCGAGUGUGGUGGUGGGUGCCUGUAAUCCCAGCUACUUGGAGGCUGAGGCAGGAGAAUCGCUAUUAACUUAAGGGCUUCUGCCAUCUUUGCUGUAAGUAACAUAGGAAAAACUCACAAAGAGAAAAAAAAUGUUAUUUCUGUGCAUUCAUAUGCAAGGAUUUGAUUCUAAUUUUUUUUGUUUUAGUUUGUCUUCUAAUUCAAUAAUUCCUUUUCCCAUGGUCUCUAAGUCACAUACCUGUGACUGUUGGUCAAAAGGUUGGACCCAUUAUCUCCUUACUGUCCUUCUUACCAUUCUUCGCUCUCUCAGGAAGUUUCAAAGAUACAAUGUUCUCUUUUGCUAAACUGCCUUGAAAAAAAUGGGCCCAAUAGUGUACACAUGCUUCUUUCACUCUCUUAUCAUCCCUGGGUACCAUAAAACUUUUGAAUUUUUGCUUUCUGAUUGGAGCAUUUAAAAAAAUAGCCUUUCAUUUAUUUUACAGCAGGUUUAGGUCCACAGCAAAAUUGAGCAGAAAGCACAGCAUUCCCAUAUAUCCCCUGUCCCCACACAUUCACAGCCUCCCCAACUACCAACGUUCCACAUAAGAGUGGCAUAUUUGUCACACU